RNAcentral lists this ribosomal RNA (253 nucleotides) under uncultured bacterium. RNAcentral describes it as "partial 16S ribosomal RNA". It matches the Rfam family "Bacterial small subunit ribosomal RNA", at positions 524 to 776 of the family's 1533-position model. The record is from RNAcentral.
UACGAAGGGGGCUAGCGUUGCUCGGAAUCACUGGGCGUAAAGCGCACGUAGGCGGGUCUUUAAGUCAGGGGUGAAAUCCCGGAGCUCAACUCCGGAACUGCCUUUGAUACUGCCGUGCUUGAGGACUGGAGAGGAGACUGGAAUUUACGGUGUAGCGGUGAAAUGCGUAGAUAUCGUAAGGAAGACCAGUGGCGAAGGCGGGUCUCUGGACAGUUCCUGACGCUGAGGCACGAAGGCCAGGGGAGCAAACGGG